UACGGGGGGGGCAAGCGUUGUUCGGAAUUACUGGGCGUAAAGGGCUCGUAGGUGGCCAACUAAGUCAGACGUGAAAUCCCUCGGCUUAACCGAGGAACUGCGUCCGAUACUGAAAGGCUUGAAUCCGGGAGAGGGAUGUGGAAUUCCAGGUGUAGCGGUGAAAUGCGUAGAUAUCUGGAGGAACACCGGUGGCGAAGGCGGUCUGCUGGGCAGUUGCUGACACUGAGGCGCGACAGCGUGGGGAGCAAACAGG
This 253-nucleotide ribosomal RNA is filed under the name uncultured bacterium. RNAcentral's name for it is "partial 16S ribosomal RNA". It matches the Rfam family "Bacterial small subunit ribosomal RNA", at positions 524 to 776 of the family's 1533-position model. The record is from RNAcentral.